CAGCAGCCGCGGUAAUACGGAGGGGGCUAGCGUUGUUCGGAAUUACUGGGCGUAAAGCGCACGUAGGCGGCUUGGUAAGUUAGAGGUGAAAGCCCGGAGCUCAACUCCGGAAUUGCCUUUAAGACUGCCGAGCUAGCAGGUGAGAGAGGUAAGUGGAAUUCCGAGUGUAGAGGUGAAAUUCGUAGAUAUUCGGAAGAACACCAGUGGCGAAGGCGGCUUACUGGCUCAUACUGGACGCUGAGGUGCGAAAGCGUGGGGAGCAAACAGGAUUAGAUACCCCGGUAGUCCCUGUCUCUUAUAC
This 301-nucleotide ribosomal RNA is filed under the name uncultured bacterium. RNAcentral describes it as "partial 16S ribosomal RNA". It matches the Rfam family "Bacterial small subunit ribosomal RNA", at positions 509 to 807 of the family's 1533-position model. The record is from RNAcentral.